CAUCUUCUCGGGCGGUAUCUGACGUGUUUACUCCGGUGUUUAGCGGCUUGUGUGGUCGGCGGUCCGGCAGGGUGGCAGCGGCGGCGUCGCGGGGACCCAGCCCGGAUCUGGAGGCCCACUAUUCCCUUGGGAAGUCCUUGAACCCUGCAAGUUCUAGGGAGUGGCCAUGCUGGGGGCCCCCACUCCUUCAGGAGGCCCCAGGCAUCCUUCAGGAUCCAGGGGAGGUGGUCUCCAGGGAAACCUCCACCUUCAGAGUCCCCUGUAUUCAGGGAGUCACCUUCAGGGCUUCCUCACAUUUUGAGAACUUGCACACAGCACUUCCCCAACACCCGGACGGUCCCCGCAGCCCUCAGCGAGCAGAAACUACCUUCUAGGCUCACAAGCCUGACUAUGGCCCACCAAACCUGCAUCCUCCACCUGCUUCAAAUAUUUUCUCAAAACGAAGAAUGCCCUCUUUACAGAGAUGGAUGAAUGUCUCUUUUUCCCUGAUGCUGAUACCAGGACUUCUUUGAAGAUGAGCUUUUCUUCCCAGAGAACCAAGGUCAAGCUGACCUGCUGUGUAUGUGCUAAACUGGGGCAAACAUCGCCUUGUGACUGGAAAAAAUUGUGUUCCUGUCAUGCGUGAUACGAUUUGCUGUGGAGUGAUCUUCAUCUGGGAAACAGACUGACUUAGACUGUCACCAGGAGAGCUCCAUACCACAAAGCUUGGGCCAUUUCAUUCACAACUGGGGAUUGUCUUUUUUUUUUUUAAUUGAGUUCAUAACAGUUCACAUCAAUGUGAAAUUUCACUUGUACAUUAUUUCUUGUCUGUCACGACAUAGGUGCUUCCCUUUCACCC
RNAcentral lists this long non-coding RNA (838 nucleotides) under Equus asinus (donkey). RNAcentral's name for it is "lncRNA (ENSEASG00005026296.1)". The record is from RNAcentral. Lineage: Eukaryota; Metazoa; Chordata; Mammalia; Perissodactyla; Equidae.